This 496-nucleotide ribosomal RNA is filed under the name uncultured bacterium. Its description in RNAcentral is "partial 16S ribosomal RNA". It matches the Rfam family "Bacterial small subunit ribosomal RNA", at positions 29 to 507 of the family's 1533-position model. The record is from RNAcentral.
AUGCACGCUGGCGGCGUGCCUAAUACCUGCCAGUCGAGCGAACGGACGAGAAGCUUGCUUUUCUGAUGUUAGCGGCGGACGGGUGAGUAACACGUGGAUAACCUACCUAUAAGACUGGGAUAACUUCGGGAAACCGGAGCUAAUAUCGGAUAAUAUUUUGAACCGCAUGGUUCAAAAGUGAAAGACGGUCUUGCUGUCACUUAUAGAUGGAUCCGCGCUGCAUUAGCUAGUUGGUAAGGUAACGGCUUACCAAGGCAACGAUGCAUAGCCGACCUGAGAGGGUGAUCGGCCACACUGGAACUGAGACACGGUCCAGACUCCUACGGGAGGCAGCAGUAGGGAAUCUUCCGCAAUGGGCGAAAGCCUGACGGAGCAACGCCGCGUGAGUGAUGAAGGUCUUCGGAUCGUAAAACUCUGUUACUAGGGAAGAACAUAUGUGUAAGUAACUGUGCACAUCUUGACGGUACCUAAUCAGAAAGCCACGGCUAACUACGUG